RNAcentral lists this ribosomal RNA (254 nucleotides) under uncultured bacterium. RNAcentral's name for it is "partial 16S ribosomal RNA". It matches the Rfam family "Bacterial small subunit ribosomal RNA", at positions 524 to 776 of the family's 1533-position model. The record is from RNAcentral.
GACGGGGGAUGCAAGUGUUAUCCGGAAUAAUUGGGCGUAAAGCGUCUGUAGGUGGUUUACCAAGUCUGUUGUUAAAAAUCAGGGCUUAACCCUGAUCCGGCAACAGAAACUAGUAGGCUGGAGUACGGUAGGGGCAGAGGGAAUUUCCGGUGGAGCGGUGAAAUGCGUAGAGAUCGGAAAGAACACCAACGGCGAAAGCAACUCUGCUGGGCCGACACUGACACUGAGAGACGAAAGCUAGGGGAGCGAAUGGG